Molecule: long non-coding RNA, 333 nt
Filed under: Callithrix jacchus (white-tufted-ear marmoset)
Lineage: Eukaryota; Metazoa; Chordata; Mammalia; Primates; Cebidae
Description: lncRNA (ENSCJAG00000054008.2)
Source: RNAcentral
CACAGGAAAGGCCUGUUUCCAUGAUUCAUCUACCUCCCACAGGUCCCUCUCAUAACACGAGGGAAUUCAAGAUGAGAUUUGGGUGGGGACACAGACAAGCCAUAUCAACUGGAUCAGAGGAAAUUUUUGAAAUCAAGUUAUCUUAAGCAGCAUCUCAUCAAUACCCUGAAUUUUCUGACUGAGUCUUGCUCUGUCACCAGGCUGGAGUACAGUGGCAUGAUCUGGGCUAAUUGCAAGCUCCAUCUUCCAAAUUCAAGUGAUUCUGCUGCCUCAGCUUCCCUAAUAACUGGGACUACAGGAUGCCAGGUAGAUUUUUACCAAACUAGAAGAUGA